RNAcentral lists this ribosomal RNA (255 nucleotides) under Clostridioides difficile. RNAcentral describes it as "partial 23S ribosomal RNA". It matches the Rfam family "Bacterial large subunit ribosomal RNA", at positions 2628 to 2885 of the family's 2925-position model. Lineage: Bacteria; Bacillati; Bacillota; Clostridia; Peptostreptococcales; Peptostreptococcaceae. The record is from RNAcentral.
AGUUCGGUCCCUAUCCGUCGCAGGCGUAGGAAAUUUGAGAAGACCUGUCCUUAGUACGAGAGGACCGGGAUGGACGUACCUCUGGUGUACCAGUUGUCCUGCCAAGGGCAUGGCUGGGUAGCUAUGUGCGGAAUGGAUAAGCGCUGAAAGCAUCUAAGCGCGAAGCCAACUUCAAGAUAAGAUUUCCCACCGCAAGGGUAAGACCCCAGAAAGACUAUCUGGUUGAUAGGUCGAAGGUGUAAGUGCAGCAAUGUA